Phrynosoma platyrhinos (Desert horned lizard) is the source of this 71-nucleotide non-coding RNA. NCBI's taxonomy places the organism in Eukaryota, Metazoa, Chordata, Lepidosauria, Squamata, Phrynosomatidae. The record is from the annotation of a GenBank genome assembly.
GCCAGCGUAGUGUAGUGGUUUGAGCGUUGGACUACAACUCUGAAGACCAGGGUUCGAAUCUCCACUUGGCC